This 889-nucleotide ribosomal RNA is filed under the name uncultured bacterium. Its description in RNAcentral is "bacterial SSU rRNA". It matches the Rfam family "Bacterial small subunit ribosomal RNA", at positions 8 to 916 of the family's 1533-position model. The record is from RNAcentral.
AGAGUUUGAUCCUGGCUCAGGAUGAACGCUGGCGGCGUGCCUAACACAUGCAAGUCGAGCGAAGAUGUCUUCGGACAUCUUAGCGGCGGACGGGUGAGUAACACGUGGGUAACCUGCCUCAUACAGGGGGAUAGCCUUCCGAAAGGAAGAUUAAUACCGCAUAAAAAGUAUUUUUCGCAUGAAAGAAACUUUAAAGGAGCAAUCCGGUAUGAGAUGGACCCGCGGCGCAUUAGCUAGUUGGUGAGGUAACGGCUCACCAAGGCGACGAUGCGUAGCCGACCUGAGAGGGUGAUCGGCCACAUUGGAACUGAGAGACGGUCCAGACUCCUACGGGAGGCAGCAGUGGGGAAUAUUGCACAAUGGAGGAAACUCUGAUGCAGCAACGCCGCGUGAGUGAAGAAGGCCUUCGGGUUGUAAAGCUCUGUCUUCUGGGACGAUAAUGACGGUACCAGAGGAGGAAGCCACGGCUAACUACGUGCCAGCAGCCGCGGUAAUACGUAGGUGGCGAGCGUUGUCCGGAUUUACUGGGCGUAAAGGAUGCGUAGGUGGGAAUUUAAGUCAGAUGUGAAAUACCCGAGCUUAACUUGGGUGCUGCAUUUGAAACUGGGUUUCUAGAGUGCAGGAGAGGAAAGCGGAAUUCCUAGUGUAGCGGUGAAAUGCGUAGAGAUUAGGAAGAACACCAGUGGCGAAGGCGGCUUUCUGGACUGUAACUGACACUGAGGCAUGAAAGCGUGGGGGAGCAAACAGGAUUAGAUACCCUGGUAGUCCACGCCGUAAACGAUGGGUACUAGGUGUGGGAGGUAUCGACUCCUUCCGUGCCGCAGUUAACACAAUAAGUACCCCGCCUGGGGAGUACGAUCGCAAGAUUAAAACUCAAAGGAAUUGACGG